AGAGUUUGAUCCUGGCUCAGGACGAACGCUGGCGGCGUGCCUAAUACAUGCAAGUCGAACGCUUCUUUUUCCACCGGAGCUUGCUCCACCGGAAAAAGAGGAGUGGCGAACGGGUGAGUAACACGUGGGUAACCUGCCCAUCAGAAGGGGAUAACACUUGGAAACAGGUGCUAAUACCGUAUAACAAUCGAAACCGCAUGGUUUUGAUUUGAAAGGCGCUUUCGGGUGUCGCUGAUGGAUGGACCCGCGGUGCAUUAGCUAGUUGGUGAGGUAACGGCUCACCAAGGCGACGAUGCAUAGCCGACCUGAGAGGGUGAUCGGCCACAUUGGGACUGAGACACGGCCCAAACUCCUACGGGAGGCAGCAGUAGGGAAUCUUCGGCAAUGGACGAAAGUCUGACCGAGCAACGCCGCGUGAGUGAAGAAGGUUUUCGGAUCGUAAAACUCUGUUGUUAGAGAAGAACAAGGAUGAGAGUAACUGUUCAUCCCUUGACGGUAUCUAACCAGAAAGCCACGGCUAACUACGUGCCAGCAGCCGCGGUAAUACGUAGGUGGCAAGCGUUGUCCGGAUUUAUUGGGCGUAAAGCGAGCGCAGGCGGUUUCUUAAGUCUGAUGUGAAAGCCCCCGGCUCAACCGGGGAGGGUCAUUGGAAACUGGGAGACUUGAGUGCAGAAGAGGAGAGUGGAAUUCCAUGUGUAGCGGUGAAAUGCGUAGAUAUAUGGAGGAACACCAGUGGCGAAGGCGGCUCUCUGGUCUGUAACUGACGCUGAGGCUCGAAAGCGUGGGGAGCAAACAGGAUUAGAUACCCUGGUAGUCCACGCCGUAAACGAUGAGUGCUAAGUGUUGGAGGGUUUCCGCCCUUCAGUGCUGCAGCUAACGCAUUAAGCACUCCGCCUGGGGAGUACGACCGCAAGGUUGAAACUCAAAGGAAUUGACGGGGGCCCGCACAAGCGGUGGAGCAUGUGGUUUAAUUCGAAGCAACGCGAAGAACCUUACCAGGUCUUGACAUCCUUUGACCACUCUAGAGAUAGAGCUUCCCCUUCGGGGGCAAAGUGACAGGUGGUGCAUGGUUGUCGUCAGCUCGUGUCGUGAGAUGUUGGGUUAAGUCCCGCAACGAGCGCAACCCUUAUUGUUAGUUGCCAUCAUUUAGUUGGGCACUCUAGCAAGACUGCCGGUGACAAACCGGAGGAAGGUGGGGAUGACGUCAAAUCAUCAUGCCCCUUAUGACCUGGGCUACACACGUGCUACAAUGGGAAGUACAACGAGUCGCAAAGUCGCGAGGCUAAGCUAAUCUCUUAAAGCUUCCCUCAGUUCGGAUUGUAGGCUGCAACUCGCCUACAUGAAGCCGGAAUCGCUAGUAAUCGUGGAUCAGAAUGCCACGGUGAAUACGUUCCCGGGCCUUGUACACACCGCCCGUCAA
Molecule: ribosomal RNA, 1420 nt
Filed under: uncultured bacterium
Lineage: Bacteria
Description: bacterial SSU rRNA
Rfam family: Bacterial small subunit ribosomal RNA
Source: RNAcentral